Molecule: non-coding RNA, 338 nt
Organism: Pelobates cultripes (western spadefoot toad)
Lineage: Eukaryota; Metazoa; Chordata; Amphibia; Anura; Pelobatidae
Source: the annotation of a GenBank genome assembly
GGCUGCAAGGUGUGUUUCUGUGUAUGUAAGGGAUGAAGUGUGUGAGUCUGUAAGGGGUGCAUUGAGUGUGUGUAAGGAAUGCAUUGUGUGUUUCUGUGUGUGCAAGGGAUGCAUUGUGUGUAAGGGUUGCAUUGCGUGUGUGUGUGUAAUGCAUUGUGUGUGUAAUGCAUUGUGUGUUUUUCUGUGUGCAAGGGGUUCAUUGUCUUUGUGUGUAAGGGGUGCAUUGUGUGUGAUUGUGUGUGUAUGUGUGUGAUGGAUGUCAAUCUCUCCCCCCUCCCUUGUCACUCUCUUCUCCCCCCCUCCCUUGUUACUCUCAUUCCCCCUCCCUCCCCUGUCAC